CCUGGUGGUCCAGUUGUUAGGACUUGGCACUUUCACUGCCAGGGCCAGGGUUUUAAUCCCUGGUCAGGA
Molecule: transfer RNA, 69 nt
Organism: Ovis aries (sheep)
Lineage: Eukaryota; Metazoa; Chordata; Mammalia; Artiodactyla; Bovidae
Rfam family: tRNA
About the family: Transfer RNA (tRNA) molecules are approximately 80 nucleotides in length.
Source: Rfam